RNAcentral lists this ribosomal RNA (492 nucleotides) under uncultured bacterium. RNAcentral describes it as "partial 16S ribosomal RNA". It matches the Rfam family "Bacterial small subunit ribosomal RNA", at positions 29 to 507 of the family's 1533-position model. The record is from RNAcentral.
AGUGAACGCUGGCGGUAGGCCUAACACAUGCAAGUCGAACGGCAGCACAGUAAGAGCUUGCUCUUACGGGUGGCGAGUGGCGGACGGGUGAGGAAUACAUCGGAAUCUACUUUUUCGUGGGGGAUAACGUAGGGAAACUUACGCUAAUACCGCAUACGACCUACGGGUGAAAGCAGGGGAUCUUCGGACCUUGCGCGAUUGAAUGAGCCGAUGUCGGAUUAGCUAGUUGGCAGGGUAAAGGCCCACCAAGGCGACGAUCCGUAGCUGGUCUGAGAGGAUGAUCAGACACACUGGAACUGAGACACGGUCCCGACUCCUACGGGAGGCAGCAGUGGGGAAUAUUGGACAAUGGGCGAAAGCCUGAUCCAGCCAUACCGCGUGGGUGAAGAAGGCCUUCGGGUUGUAAAGCCCUUUUGUUGGGAAAGAAAAGCAGCAGGUUAAUACCCCGCUGUUCUGACGGUACCCAAAGAAUAAGCACCGGCUAACUUCGUG